UACGGGGGGAGCAAGCGUUGUUCGGAUUUACUGGGCGUAAAGGGCGCGUAGGCGGUCGUGACAAGUCACUUGUGAAAUCUCCGGGCUUAACUCGGAACGGUCAAGUGAUACUGUCGGACUAGAGUACAGAAGGGGCAACUGGAAUUCUUGGUGUAGCGGUGAAAUGCGUAGAUAUCAAGAGGAACACCUGCGGCGAAGGCGGGUUGCUGGGCUGACACUGACGCUGAGGCGCGAAAGCUAGGGGAGCGAACGGG
Molecule: ribosomal RNA, 254 nt
Filed under: uncultured bacterium
Lineage: Bacteria
Description: partial 16S ribosomal RNA
Rfam family: Bacterial small subunit ribosomal RNA
Source: RNAcentral